Molecule: ribosomal RNA, 243 nt
Filed under: Sesamia poephaga
Lineage: Eukaryota; Metazoa; Arthropoda; Insecta; Lepidoptera; Noctuidae
Description: partial 16S large subunit ribosomal RNA
Source: RNAcentral
AAUAUAUUAAAAAGACGAGAAGACCCUAUAGAGUUUUAUGAAUUAAAUUAAUUAAAAUUAUUUGUAAGAUUAAAAUUAAAAUUAAUUUAUUUAUUUUGUUGGGGUGACAGAAAAAUAUAAUAAACUUUUUAUAUAUUUAAAACAUUAAUAAGUGAUUAAAUGAUCCAAUAUUAUUGAUUAUAAGAAAAAAUUACCUUAGGGAUAACAGCGUAAUUUUUUUUUUUAGUUCAUAUAAAAAAAAAA